Molecule: ribosomal RNA, 645 nt
Filed under: uncultured bacterium
Lineage: Bacteria
Description: bacterial SSU rRNA
Rfam family: Bacterial small subunit ribosomal RNA
Source: RNAcentral
GCAGUCGAACGAAGUCUUCGGACUUAGUGGCGCACGGGUGCGUAACGCGUGGGAAUCUGCCCUUGGGUACGGAAUAACUCAGAGAAAUUUGUGCUAAUACCGUAUAAUGUCUUCGGACCAAAGAUUUAUCGCCCAAGGAUGAGCCCGCGUAAGAUUAGCUAGUUGGUGGGGUAAAAGCCUACCAAGGCGACGAUCUUUAGCUGGUCUGAGAGGAUGAUCAGCCACACUGGGACUGAGACACGGCCCAGACUCCUACGGGAGGCAGCAGUGGGGAAUAUUGGACAAUGGGCGAAAGCCUGAUCCAGCAAUGCCGCGUGAGUGAUGAAGGCCUUAGGGUUGUAAAGCUCUUUUACCCGGGAUGAUAAUGACAGUACCGGGAGAAUAAGCUCCGGCUAACUCCGUGCCAGCAGCCGCGGUAAUACGGAGGGAGCUAGCGUUGUUCGGAAUUACUGGGCGUAAAGCGCGCGUAGGCGGUUUUUUAAGUCAGAGGUGAAAGCCCAGUGCUCAACACUGGAACUGCCUUUGAAACUGGAAAACUUGAAUCUUGGAGAGGUCAGUGGAAUUCCGAGUGUAGAGGUGAAAUUCGUAGAUAUUCGGAAGAACACCAGUGGCGAAGGCGACUGACUGGACAAGUAUUGACGCUGA